Non-coding RNA from Podarcis lilfordi (Lilford's wall lizard), 69 nucleotides. The record is from the annotation of a GenBank genome assembly. NCBI's taxonomy places the organism in Eukaryota, Metazoa, Chordata, Lepidosauria, Squamata, Lacertidae.
GCAGUAGCUCAGUGGAAGAGCAUCAGCUUUGAAUGCAGAUGGCCCAAAGUUCAAUCUCUGACAUCUCCG